This 468-nucleotide ribosomal RNA is filed under the name uncultured bacterium. Its description in RNAcentral is "partial 16S ribosomal RNA". It matches the Rfam family "Bacterial small subunit ribosomal RNA", at positions 28 to 507 of the family's 1533-position model. The record is from RNAcentral.
GACGAACGCUGGCGGCGUGCUUAACACAUGCAAGUCGAACGGAAAGGCCCUGCUUUUGUGGGGUGCUCGAGUGGCGAACGGGUGAGUAACACGUGAGUAACCUGCCCUUGACUUUGGGAUAACUUCAGGAAACUGGGGCUAAUACCGGAUAGGAGCUCCUGCUGCAUGGUGGGGGUUGGAAAGUUUCGGCGGUUGGGGAUGGACUCGCGGCUUAUCAGCUUGUUGGUGGGGUAGUGGCUUACCAAGGCUUUGACGGGUAGCCGGCCUGAGAGGGUGACCGGCCACAUUGGGACUGAGAUACGGCCCAGACUCCUACGGGAGGCAGCAGGGGGGAAUAUUGCACAAUGGGCGGAAGCCUGAUGCAGCAACGCCGCGUGCGGGAUGACGGCCUUCGGGUUGUAGCCCGCUUUCGCCUGUGACGGAGCGUGAGUGACGGUAAUGGGUAAAGAAGCACCGGCUAACUACGUG